Long non-coding RNA from Zea mays, 716 nucleotides. RefSeq lists it as uncharacterized. The transcript has 2 exons. Lineage: Eukaryota; Viridiplantae; Streptophyta; Magnoliopsida; Poales; Poaceae. The record is from RefSeq and is a predicted model, not a curated record.
CGUCGAAACCGUGUCUCUCGUGUUUCAUAAUGGCAAUUGUCUCUCCCACGAGAAGGCCCGUGCGGGUGCGCUUUGCUCCUCUCCCCGCGUGCUCUCCCUCUCUCUCGCGCGCGCGGCGACGACUCGGCUAGUCGGCUACCGCCGCCGCCCCCUACGCCAGCUUCCCAGCUCUUCGUCAGGCCCUUCUCCGUCAACGAGCACCCAGCACAUAUCCUGAGCCCCUCCACACCUCAACGAUGGCGGGAUUCAGAAGCCUUGCACCCAAGACCAGGAACCUGGUGGUGGCUGGGGGCCUGUCGGCCUUCGUGCUCGGGGUCUACUACUACACCAUGAGAGCCGUGGGAGGCACGGACGAGCUGCAGGUGGCGAUCGACAAGUUUGAGGAGAUGAAGAAGAAGGACGCUGCCAGAAACUCCAGCACAGGAGGAUCGUAAACGCGGCGCCCUUCUCGUCUCUGUACUGAACCUGGAUCUGCAGGCUGACAUGAUACGGUAGUCAAGUCGCUCAGUAGGCCAAGAACAUGCGUGCCUCUACUGUGCAAUAAAUAAUGUGUGAUACUCUUUAUCAGAUAGAGCUUGGCAGCUUGUGUUUUAAGGAGAGAUGUACACUCGAGUGUUUUUGUCCUAUGAUAUAAUAGUGGUCGCAAUGUCUAAAUUUCCCUGAUAUAACUUGGCGAGACGGAAAUUCUUUGGGAUAAGUAUUUGCUUGUGUAAUUA